UCCUACGGGGGGCAGCAGUAGGGAAUCUUCCACAAUGGACGAAAGUCUGAUGGAGCAACGCCGCGUGAGUGAAGAAGGGUUUCGGCUCGUAAAGCUCUGUUGGUAGUGAAGAAAGAUAGAGGUAGUAACUGGCCUUUAUUUGACGGUAAUUACUUAGAAAGUCACGGCUAACUACGUGCCAGCAGCCGCGGUAAUACGUAGGUGGCAAGCGUUGUCCGGAUUUAUUGGGCGUAAAGCGAGGGCAGGCGGUUGAAUAAAUCU
Molecule: ribosomal RNA, 261 nt
Filed under: uncultured bacterium
Lineage: Bacteria
Description: partial 16S ribosomal RNA
Rfam family: Bacterial small subunit ribosomal RNA
Source: RNAcentral